This is a long non-coding RNA of Xiphophorus maculatus (southern platyfish), 803 nucleotides long. RefSeq lists it as uncharacterized. NCBI's taxonomy places the organism in Eukaryota, Metazoa, Chordata, Actinopteri, Cyprinodontiformes, Poeciliidae. The transcript is spliced from 5 exons. The record is from RefSeq and is a predicted model, not a curated record.
ACGGGCAAUCACAUGGCAAUUAGGACCUUCGACUCCAACCUGUCUGUGGGGCUCAAGUUUGAGACACGUCUCAUCUCUUUCAGAAGGAAGGAAAGAAGAUACCAGCGGCACAUCUGGGCAGUGUGUGUGAGUCCAAGGCAUCGAUAAGGACACAUUGUUACAUAAAUGGGGCGAGAGGACAAGGAAAUAGCCAGCAGCAAAGAUGCGGCGUAAUUAAAGUGCAUGGGGGUGUCGGUGGGCUCCCUGCCACAUUUGCCAUUGACUUUCAACCAGAUGAGGAAGGUCAGCAACAAGGUGUUUAGAGCAAUCUCUGCAAAUUGUUGGACUGAGGCUUGAUAAUCUCCAAGGCUUUAAUGGAUCUCAGAUCUGUUUACCAAGAGUUCAUCUCAAGCCAUUUUGGAUGUCGGAGGUAAACUUGCCGCUCUGCCGCCAAACGCAGAGAGCUCAGAGCUUUCCAGGAGACGACGGCAGCAUCUUCAGCGUGUGAUAACGUCGACGCACUUGAGCUCCGCAGGAGGAGGGGCACACACAGCACCAGGGACAGCGACUCAUUUCAGUACCAAGAAAAGCUCGCCGAAAUCUUCUGUGACUGUCACCUUGUUGCAGAAUGUGGCACAUUCUGGUCAGAUCCACGCAACUGGAUGAAAACUACAGGCUGCCCACUCAUGUCUGGGAUUUCCUCAAGCUGGGAGAGGGGCUGGGGGUAUAAAAAAAAAAGGCAGGAUUUCGUUUCACGUGGAGGAUAUCGUCACUGGGCGUACGUCAGAAAUUUAGGGUUUAAAAAAGGGGGGGAAGAUGGGGUG